GACGAACGCUGGCGGCGUGCUUAACACAUGCAAGUGGAGCGACGAACCGGGCUUCGGCCCGGGGCAAAGCCGCGAACGGGUGAGUAACACGUGGGUAACCUGCCCCGUUGACCGGGACAACUCGAGGAAACUCGAGCUAAUACCGGAUGAGCUCGCAUCCCAUCAGGGUUGUGAGGAAAGGAAGCUUCGGCCUCCGCAUCGGGAUGGGCCCGCGGCCCAUUAGCUUGUUGGUGGGGUAACGGCCUACCAAGGCUUCGAUGGGUAGCU
Molecule: ribosomal RNA, 267 nt
Filed under: uncultured bacterium
Lineage: Bacteria
Description: partial 16S ribosomal RNA
Rfam family: Bacterial small subunit ribosomal RNA
Source: RNAcentral